Molecule: ribosomal RNA, 400 nt
Filed under: phytoplankton environmental sample
Lineage: Eukaryota
Description: partial small subunit ribosomal RNA
Rfam family: Eukaryotic small subunit ribosomal RNA
Source: RNAcentral
AGCUCCAAUAGCGUAUAUUAAAGUUGUUGCAGUUAAAAAGCUCGUAGUUGGAUUUGUGGUUUGGUUUGUCGGCCGAUGGACUUUGUCUGUUGUGUUGUACGGACCUGCCUUUUAUGGGAUUGUCUUCUUUGUGGCAUUAGGUUGUCGCAUUGUUGAUGCCCAUCUUUUACUGUGAAAAAAUUAGAGUGUUCAAAGCAGGCUUAUGCCGUUGAAUAUAUUAGCAUGGAAUAAUGAUAUAGGACCUUGGUACUAUUUUGUUGGUUUGCGCACUGAGGUAAUGAUUAAUAGGGACAGUUGGGGGUAUUCGUAUUCCAUUGUCAGAGGUGAAAUUCUUGGAUUUUUGGAAGACGAACUACUGCGAAAGCAUUUACCAAGGAUGUUUUCAUUAAUCAAGAACGAA